GCGCAGCGGAAGCGUGCUGGGCCCAUAACCCAGAGGUCGAUGGAUCGAAACCAUCCUCUGCUAACAUAUUUUUUGAUUGUGCAGAUUAUCUUUUGCCUAAAGGAAUUACAUCCAAUAUGUGUAUCUCUAAUUAUUCUUCACUAAGGCACAAGAAAAAACAAACCGACAUAAAAUAACGAAGUAAACAAACCACCUCUGAAGUUGAGAUUAAAUUGAGAACCGCAGUGCAUUGUGGGAAACCAAACCUAUCUCCUGGCGGUAGAUGUUAAGGUUGGAGCUCGUUAGCGUGUCUUUUGUUUCGAGAUUUCCAGAUCGUUUCUGUUCCCCUUGUACCAGGGCGACGUGCCUUCAGAAAAACUCCACCAAACGUUUCAUGACCGUAACGAAAGAAAUGGCUUGUUCGUUGUAGUUGCAGGAGUUGUGGAGGAGAUCCUGUGGUCAACUGACAUUGAGUGUCGGUGUCAAACCAUACAACAGACAAAAGCAACACCAAACAUGAACAAAAGCCAUGACACUGAGUGCCGUGUCCACAUGCAAAGCUGGAGAGAAGCAUCACAGAGACAAUCCACUCUGCAAGUCCAGAGAGGCCUUCUGCCCCAAGCUGGAGAGAGGUCUCAUUACUCAUUAGAUGGCAAUUGUAAGCUUCUUAAAACGUCUUCAUAAAUGUUUUCAUCAACUAAGAGAAAAGAAAGGUAAUUCUUUCUGUUUUCUGUCCAUCUCCU
Molecule: long non-coding RNA, 722 nt
Filed under: Takifugu rubripes (torafugu)
Lineage: Eukaryota; Metazoa; Chordata; Actinopteri; Tetraodontiformes; Tetraodontidae
Description: lncRNA (ENSTRUG00000030159.1)
Rfam family: tRNA (bases 1-63)
Source: RNAcentral